RNAcentral lists this ribosomal RNA (774 nucleotides) under uncultured Neocallimastigales. RNAcentral describes it as "partial large subunit ribosomal RNA". It matches the Rfam family "Eukaryotic large subunit ribosomal RNA", at positions 20 to 616 of the family's 3401-position model. The record is from RNAcentral. Lineage: Eukaryota; Fungi; Neocallimastigomycota; Neocallimastigomycetes; Neocallimastigales.
UACUAGAGUAGCACUCGCAUAUCAAUAAGCGGAGGAAAAGAAACUAACAAGGAUUCCCCUAGUAACGGCGAGUGAAGCGGGAAGAGCUCAAAUUUGAAAUCUUAAAGGGUUUCCCUUUACGAAUUGUAGUUUAAAGAAGUGUUUUCUGUUGAGGUUUUGGUAAAAGUUCUUUGGAAUAGGACAUCAUAGAGGGUGAGAAUCCCGUAUUUGACCUUUACUUUCAACUUUGUGAUACACUUUCAAAGAGUCGGAUUGUUUGGGGAUGCAGUCCAAAAUGGGUGGUAAAUUUCAUCUAAAGCUAAAUAUUGGCGAGAGACCGAUAGCGAACAAGUACCGUGAGGGAAAGAUGAAAAGAACUUUGAAAAGAGAGUUAAACAGUACGUGAAAUUGUCAAAAGGGAAGCGUUUGACACCAGUGUUGUUUUUCUGAAAAUCAAUUAAAGAACUGUUUAUGCUAAGCUGUUUAGACUUUAUCAGCUAACUGUUUAGUUUUGAGCUUUUCUUUAAUGCACUUUUCAGUUAACAAGUCAACAUCAAUUUCUUUUGCUGUAAAAAAGCUUGAGGAAGGUGGCUUGAGAUUCGUCUUAAGUGUUUAUAGCCUCUUGCCUAUGCAGUCGGAGAGAUUGAGGUCUGCAGCGUAGAUCCUUCGGGGCUAAAUGCAUUUGUGCUAAGUUAUAGCAUUUUAUAGACAACUUGUUGACUAUGAUUUGUCUUGUAGCUUACUCGCUUAUGUUAUUUUACCUACGCUUAGGAUGUUGAGCGCAUGUCUCUCUCU